Molecule: transfer RNA, 73 nt
Filed under: Mycobacterium sp.
Lineage: Bacteria; Bacillati; Actinomycetota; Actinomycetes; Mycobacteriales; Mycobacteriaceae
Also listed under: 14 other names
Description: tRNA-Gly
Rfam family: tRNA
About the family: Transfer RNA (tRNA) molecules are approximately 80 nucleotides in length. Their secondary structure includes four short double-helical elements and three loops (D, anti-codon, and T loops).
Source: RNAcentral
GCGGACGUGGCGCAGUUGGUAGCGCACAACCUUGCCAAGGUUGGGGUCGCGGGUUCGAAUCCCGUCGUCCGCU